CUACGGGUGGCAGCAGUGGGGAAUUUUGGACAAUGGGCGCAAGCCUGAUCCAGCCAUGCCGCGUGAGUGAAGAAGGCCUUCGGGUUGUAAAGCUCUUUCGGCAGGAACGAAAUGGUUCGUGCCAAUACCACGGACUGAUGACGGUACCUGAAGAAGAAGCACCGGCUAACUACGUGCCAGCAGCCGCGGUAAUACGUAGGGUGCAGGCGUGAAUCGGAAUUACUGGGCGUAAAGCGUGCGCAGGCGGUUUCUUAAGUCAGAUGUGAAAGCCCCGGGCUUAACCUGGGAACUGCGUUUGAAACUGGGAGACUUGAGUGUGGCAGAGGGGGGUGGAAUUCCACGUGUAGCAGUGAAAUGCGUAGAUAUGUGGAGGAACACCGAUGGCGAAGGCAGCCCCCUGGGUUAACACUGACGCUCAUGCACGAAAGCGUGGGGAGCAAACAGGAUUAGAUACCCCAGUAGUC
RNAcentral lists this ribosomal RNA (464 nucleotides) under uncultured bacterium. Its description in RNAcentral is "partial 16S ribosomal RNA". It matches the Rfam family "Bacterial small subunit ribosomal RNA", at positions 339 to 795 of the family's 1533-position model. The record is from RNAcentral.